Molecule: long non-coding RNA, 1286 nt
Organism: Oreochromis niloticus (Nile tilapia)
Lineage: Eukaryota; Metazoa; Chordata; Actinopteri; Cichliformes; Cichlidae
Exons: 2
Source: RefSeq, a predicted model, not a curated record
CAAUGGCAAUAAAGUUGAAUUCUAUACUAUUCUAUUCUUUGUUGUGGUUGAUGUUGAGUGUAUUUUUCCUUUUUUGCAUGCUUUUACUGUAUUUAUUGGGACGUCCUCCGGAGAGACUCCUCCCCCCUGCUUUCCCUAACUAAUUAGAUACACCUGGAGGGCACAGGGGACAUCAAUCAAUCAGACCUCCUUAGUUGGCAGCGAGAGGCCAAUAAGAGGGCCUGGCAGGUCGGAAAAGGGGACGCGGCCGCAGGAGAAGAGAGCGGGCCCUUGGUAAGUUCAUGGCAGACUUCUUCCACGGUGGCGGCCGCAGUUUGGAGCUCUGCCCUCCCGGGAAGCGGGAGCGGAGUGGCCCGACGAAGGACGCUGGCGGCCUGGCCCUACUGGUGGACACAAGAAGUGUGGCGGAUUUGGACCCUUGGGACUUUGGCUCGCUGACUGAGGAACACUUUUUUUUUUUCUUUUUCAAAUUGUGCUGAGUUUUACGUUGUUUCGAUUAUUCUCUUCCCUGAUCAGAGUAUUUUUUAAUGCUGUAAGUAAAGUGUAUUUUUAUUGACUAUUUUAACCGGGUUUACACAUCUUUCUGUUCCCGUGAUCAUCCCCUGCUGCUAUUUCCGUUUUAGUUCCCUUCUAGUAUACAUCCGUGACAUGCAUAUGUGCUUUCCUCUAUAAAAUACUUUACUCUCUGAUCUGGCCUGAAAAGUUUCUUAAUUGUAAGAAUUUUUAGAAGGCUGAAAAGGAACCUCAAGGAGGGGCUUCUCAUAACGACUUGAAUUACACUAUGCUCCGAUGUGCACAAAAUAAAAAGUGAUGGAAUGAUACCACAGACAUAACAGAGUUAAUGACACUUUAUAGAUUCAUUUGUAAUGGGACGCUGGUUGAAGUUAUGGUAAAAAUCCUUCAACUUUAAUUAUUAAGAAAUGAAAAUGUCAUUUGUAAAUGACCAGAAGCAUCUAAUAACUGUUGCUCUCAGCCUGGGGAACAUAAAAAUAACAUUUGCUCCACACUACUCUCCAACUGUCUAGGAGAGUUUUUCUCUCCUCCACCCAGCUGUUCAAAGUUUUAUAUGAUGUUGGGAUUUAUUUUUUAUUUUAAGGCCAAUAUCUCAUAAUUGGCAUCACAUAUGUGUUUUUAUACUUUUCUGAUUAGAUCUGUGUCCUCGUUUGUUUUGUAGUCUUGCUGCUUGACUUAUCAGAAACUUUUCACAGGUGAAUAUCUAAACUGCGCAGAGGAACAUUUAUUUCUAAAUUCCAAGCUAGCUAACUUGUCUAGUGGAAGUGCAUUUU